AUUUUUACAAUGAAGAGUUUGAUCCUGGCUCAGGAUGAACGCUAGCUACAGGCUUAACACAUGCAAGUCGAGGGGCAGCAUUUCAGUUUGCUUGCAAACUGGAGAUGGCGACCGGCGCACG
RNAcentral lists this ribosomal RNA (121 nucleotides) under Bacteroides difficilis. Its description in RNAcentral is "partial 16S ribosomal RNA". It matches the Rfam family "Bacterial small subunit ribosomal RNA", at positions 1 to 104 of the family's 1533-position model. The record is from RNAcentral. Lineage: Bacteria; Pseudomonadati; Bacteroidota; Bacteroidia; Bacteroidales; Bacteroidaceae.